This 624-nucleotide ribosomal RNA is filed under the name Lactiplantibacillus pentosus. RNAcentral describes it as "bacterial SSU rRNA". It matches the Rfam family "Bacterial small subunit ribosomal RNA", at positions 57 to 647 of the family's 1533-position model. Lineage: Bacteria; Bacillati; Bacillota; Bacilli; Lactobacillales; Lactobacillaceae. The record is from RNAcentral.
GCAGUCGAACGAACUCUGGUAUUGAUUGGUGCUUGCAUCAUGAUUUACAUUUGAGUGAGUGGCGAACUGGUGAGUAACACGUGGGAAACCUGCCCAGAAGCGGGGGAUAACACCUGGAAACAGAUGCUAAUACCGCAUAACAACUUGGACCGCAUGGUCCGAGUUUGAAAGAUGGCUUCGGCUAUCACUUUUGGAUGGUCCCGCGGCGUAUUAGCUAGAUGGUGGGGUAACGGCUCACCAUGGCAAUGAUACGUAGCCGACCUGAGAGGGUAAUCGGCCACAUUGGGACUGAGACACGGCCCAAACUCCUACGGGAGGCAGCAGUAGGGAAUCUUCCACAAUGGACGAAAGUCUGAUGGAGCAACGCCGCGUGAGUGAAGAAGGGUUUCGGCUCGUAAAACUCUGUUGUUAAAGAAGAACAUAUCUGAGAGUAACUGUUCAGGUAUUGACGGUAUUUAACCAGAAAGCCACGGCUAACUACGUGCCAGCAGCCGCGGUAAUACGUAGGUGGCAAGCGUUGUCCGGAUUUAUUGGGCGUAAAGCGAGCGCAGGCGGUUUUUUAAGUCUGAUGUGAAAGCCUUCGGCUCAACCGAAGAAGUGCAUCGGAAACUGGGAAACUUGAGU